AUUGAACUGAAAUUGAGCUGGAAUUGUCCAAUGAAGUUCUGGGCCAAAUUAGUUUAUUUUUUCUCUUGGUUUAAAAACUAAAAAAAAAUGGAAAAAAUUUGAACAGUUAGAUUUGAACCAAACUGAAUUGAACCAGAUUGAAUCGGAACCAAAACCAAAACCUUGGGGGGUAUAAGGGCCAAUUCAAUUCACUCUUUUAGUGAACCGUGAACCGCCAAAUCUAGGGCAGUUCGAGCUGAAACCGGCCCAGUGGCAAGGUCUAGAGGCAGCAACAUCAGCAAUGGAGGGAGAUUUUGGUCGAAAUCCUUUCACUUAUAUGUUAGUUUUACUUUUCAUUGAUCUUUUUUAUGUAUCAAUGACUAGCUGUAGGGAGAAUGAAGAUAUGAGAAGUGUUCAGAAGUCAUGGAACCAAAAUAAGCAUUUUCACUGCAGAAGACGGACUUUGCAUCAGAAGUCCUGAAGUUGGCUUUUGGUUAGCCAUGAUAACUUGUCUGC
Molecule: unclassified non-coding RNA, 495 nt
Filed under: Hevea brasiliensis (rubber tree)
Lineage: Eukaryota; Viridiplantae; Streptophyta; Magnoliopsida; Malpighiales; Euphorbiaceae
Source: RNAcentral